AAUCAACGCUGGCGGCGUGCCUCAGACAUGCAAGUCGAACGCGAAAGUUCCCUUCGGGGAGCGAGUAGAGUGGCGCACGGGUGAGUAACACGUGGAUAAUUUACCUUCGGGUGGGGAAUAACAACCGGAAACGGUUGCUAAUACCGCAUAAUGCAGCGGCAUCUAUGAUGACAGUUGUUAAAGCGGGGGAGUCGCAAGACCUCGCGCCUGAAGAGAAGUCCGCGGCAGAUUAGCUAGUUGGUAGGGUAAUGGCCUACCAAGGCGACGAUCUGUAGCCGGCCUGAGAGGGCGGUCGGCCACACU
This 303-nucleotide ribosomal RNA is filed under the name uncultured bacterium. RNAcentral's name for it is "bacterial SSU rRNA". It matches the Rfam family "Bacterial small subunit ribosomal RNA", at positions 32 to 314 of the family's 1533-position model. The record is from RNAcentral.